This is a non-coding RNA of Potamilus streckersoni, 72 nucleotides long. NCBI's taxonomy places the organism in Eukaryota, Metazoa, Mollusca, Bivalvia, Unionida, Unionidae. The record is from the annotation of a GenBank genome assembly.
GCCGCUGUAGCUCAAUAGGUAGAGCAACGGAUUCGUAAUCCAUAGUUCGUGGGUUAGGUUCCCCUGCAGGCC